GUGCUUGCUUUUGCAGCACAUAUACUAAAAUUGGAAUGAUACAGAGAAGAUUAGCAUGGCCCCUGCACAAGGAUGACAUGCAAAUUCAUGAAGCAUUCCAUAUUUUU
Small nuclear RNA from Oryctolagus cuniculus (rabbit), 107 nucleotides. The record is from Ensembl. Lineage: Eukaryota; Metazoa; Chordata; Mammalia; Lagomorpha; Leporidae.